RNAcentral lists this unclassified non-coding RNA (210 nucleotides) under Melitaea cinxia (Glanville fritillary). RNAcentral describes it as "misc RNA ENSMCXG00005021212.1". Lineage: Eukaryota; Metazoa; Arthropoda; Insecta; Lepidoptera; Nymphalidae. The record is from RNAcentral.
UUAAUCUGUUAAAAACAGGGAAAGAAAAUUGUACUGAAUUUUAUUCAUCCUCUAGGGGAGAAUGUGAUUUAAAUUUGGAAUACUUACCGAAAUUUAUACUGAACUACAUCUGUGUUUACACCAUUGAGUUUGUAUAUAAAGCAUUAUACAUCUUUUUGAAAAAGGAAAACGCAUUUAAUAAGCAGUUAUGAUUAUUAAAUAAAAUUACUC